UACAGAGGGGGCAAGCGUUGUUCGGAAUUACUGGGCGUAAAGGGCGCGUAGGCGGCCUUCUAAGUCGAACGUGAAAUCCCCGGGCUCAACCCGGGAACUGCGUCCGAUACUGGAAGGCUUGAAUCCGGGAGAGGGAUGCGGAAUUCCAGGUGUAGCGGUGAAAUGCGUAGAUAUCUAAAGGAACACCAAUGGCGAAGGCAGCUUACUGGGUCUUUUCUGACACUGAGAUGCGAAAGCGUGGGGAGCGAACGGG
RNAcentral lists this ribosomal RNA (253 nucleotides) under uncultured bacterium. Its description in RNAcentral is "partial 16S ribosomal RNA". It matches the Rfam family "Bacterial small subunit ribosomal RNA", at positions 524 to 776 of the family's 1533-position model. The record is from RNAcentral.